Molecule: ribosomal RNA, 405 nt
Filed under: uncultured bacterium
Lineage: Bacteria
Description: bacterial SSU rRNA
Rfam family: Bacterial small subunit ribosomal RNA
Source: RNAcentral
AAUGGACGCAAGUCUGAACCAGCCAUGUCGCGUGCAGGAAGACGGCCUUAUGGGUUGUAAACUGCUUUUAUACAGGGAUAAACCCCUUCUCGUGAGGAGGGCUGAAGGUACUGUAUGAAUAAACACCGGCUAACUCCGUGCCAGCAGCCGCGGUAAUACGGAGGGUGUAAGCGUUAUCCGGAAUCAUUGGGUUUAAAGGGUCCGUAGGCGGACUAUUAAGUCAGAGGUGAAAUCCCACGGCUCAACCGUGGAACUGCCUUUGAUACUGGUAGUCUUGAGUUAUUGUGAAGUAGAUGGAAUGUGUAGUGUAGCGGUGAAAUGCAUAGAUAUUACACAGAACACCGAUUGCGAAGGCAGUCUACUAAUAAUAUACUGACGCUGAGGGACGAAAGCGUGGGGAUCGAA